RNAcentral lists this ribosomal RNA (381 nucleotides) under uncultured bacterium. RNAcentral's name for it is "bacterial SSU rRNA". It matches the Rfam family "Bacterial small subunit ribosomal RNA", at positions 28 to 410 of the family's 1533-position model. The record is from RNAcentral.
GACAAACGCUGGCGGGGUGCAUGAGACAUGCAAGUCGAACGGGGUUGAGCGGGCUUGCUCGAUCAACCUAGUGGCGGACGGCUGAGUAACGCGUAGGUGACCUACCCGGAAGUGGGGAAUAACUGCCCGAAAGGGUGGCUAAUACCGCAUGUGGUCGGCGAUUCGGUUCGCCGCCCAAAGCCGCAAGGCGCUUCCGGAGGGGCCUGCGUCCGAUUAGCUAGUUGGUGGGGUAAUGGCUCACCAAGGCGACGAUCGGUAGCUGGUCUGAGAGGAUGAUCAGCCAGACUGGGACUGAGAACGGCCCAGACUCCUACGGGAGGCAGCAGUCGGGAAUUUUGCCCAAUGGACGAAAGUCUGAGGCAGCAACUCCGCGUGGGGACG